Molecule: long non-coding RNA, 282 nt
Filed under: Gallus gallus (chicken)
Lineage: Eukaryota; Metazoa; Chordata; Aves; Galliformes; Phasianidae
Description: long non-coding RNA NONGGAT006868
Source: RNAcentral
UGGAAUGCUUGCAGGUAGUCUCAACCUCAGUGAUGGAAAAACUGAAGCAGAAUAGUUGCAACUGAUGUGCCUGCAGUUGAAGGAUGGGGCCCCAUGUGUAAGUAGCAUGGCAUAAGGAGAAUGAACAACCGGAUCCUGCCUGGCCGGGCACGCGGGGAUGGGAAGCAGUCGCCUGACGUUCUCUGCGUUAAAGACGUCCUUGUCACAGCGCUGCAACCUGUGCUGCUUUGUUGUAGGAAACAACCUCUGGAAGGAAAUAGGCGUAGCUCCUGAUUACAGCCG